UUUCCUGCUGGCAAUUUAUUGUUGCUAAGUUGUUAAGCUCCAUUUCUCAUUUAUUUCGCACUUAAGAAAACUCGUCAAUACCUCAAAUUUUUAAAAAGCUGAGAAACAAAGUACAGUAUAAUGUCAAAUUGAAGAAACAAAAGAUACAGCUUAUAUUGUAUUUUUGAAAAUAUAAUUAACUGAAUACAUCAAUUUUUCUAAUAAACAUUUAUCCUUAAAAGUAAUUCCACAUCCCAACAAAGAUGUUCCCAUUUCUCUGAAGUCAGUAAGCAAACCUUAAUUAGUCCAAGAACUUGGCUUUUCCUCCAAGUUAAAUUUUUAGCAUCUGUAUUUUUAAACUAGUAUAUAAAAUCACCACUAUAUAUAUAUCUAUGUUAAUUUCACCAUUAUCAUUUACAUUUACUUUUCAGCUAUUAGAGACUUAGUGCUUUAAGUAGCAAACUACCUACAUUAUAAACAUGUAUUUUCAAAACAAAAUCCAGUUCACAAUUAUAUAUACAGUGCAGAAGAUUAAAAACUACAUUAGCAUGUGAUUUCUUUUUCCUAAGGUUCCUAUAAAGAAAUGUAUGCUUGUUCUAUACUAUCCAUUAAUUCUGUACAUUUAAAACAACAUUUGGCUUGACUUAGUCAAAAAUAUAAAGGCUAAAAUUUUUUAUAAGACUAACUCAUUAAAAAUAGGACUCAAAUUCUAAACCAAGCCCUAAAACCAAGCAUUCAAAGAAUAUCUGAAUCAUUUUAGUAUUUCUGCAUGGUACGAUGAGGUUUCACAAACAAUAAUUCAAAAGUUUUAUUAUUCAGUGAUGGGAAUGGCCUACGACUCAAGAUAACCCACAAAUUCAUAUGUUUUACAAGCAGCAGUAAUAUAAAGUUAAUUCAGUUAAAGACCUCAUCAUCUACCAACCAAUACCAUUAACCUGUUCACAGAAUUAUUAAAGUAUUUCUAUCAAGUCUAACGUGUCCUUUUAAGGUUUGUGUGUCGCUAUUAAAUGUGUUAUAAAGGAAUGAGGUAGAAUCCCAUUUUUUAAAAGUACUGCUAUGUAAGCCAAUUUCACACGAAGACAUUUUUACGUCACAUAAAUAUUACUACGGCUUCAGUGAACUAGGUAACUUUCAGAGAGCCGUGUUAAACCCAAAGCUAAUCAAUUUAUGGAACUGUUGUUCUCUGCUUAUUACCAUAUUUGAGUAACCAUAAAGACAGAAAAAAAUCUUAAGUGUAUUACUUUGGAGGUAUUCGUAUGGGAUUUUACCAUUUCUAGAAAGAAAUGGGAGAACUUUUUGGUCACAGCCUGGACUACAGAAAACUAUAAAUUGAAAAUGUAAAGAUAGAAUUCAAAGGGCCUCAAAAACAUCUGUAGUAACUGAGAGCAUAAUCUGCAGAACAUGAAAUUCCUUCCGUUCUAGUCUUCCAGUGACAAACUCCACUUAGCAGGGCUUAGGAAGUUGCUCUUAAAAUUACAAAUUUUACAGGCCAUCAUGGCCUAAGCACAGAAUAGCCUACUCAAAAUAUCUCCACUCUUCUUAAAAAAAGAAGUAUAUAUACUCAUUCUUUUUCAAAAACGACCCAAAAUAUCACCAGUACAUUUUAUAAAAUUAAAUGCAAAU
Molecule: long non-coding RNA, 1602 nt
Filed under: Bos taurus (domestic cattle)
Lineage: Eukaryota; Metazoa; Chordata; Mammalia; Artiodactyla; Bovidae
Description: long non-coding RNA NONBTAT020489
Source: RNAcentral